AUAAAGAUACUCAAACUCAAACACAACUAAAAUUACUGAGCAUAAUCAUAAACCCUAAUCAACGACAUCAAGCCCUAGUUUCUCCAGCCUCCAUCACCACCGUCACCACCACGAGAGUAACCACGGUCACCACCACCACCAUAACCACGGUCUCUGCCACCGCCAUAGCCACCGCCACCGCCACCGCCAUAUCCACCGCCGCCGCCAUAGCCUCCACCGCCACCGCUACGGUUGUAUCCCCCUCCACCACCGCGACCACCACCACCAUAUCCACCACCGCGACCACCACCAUAUCCACCACCUCCACCGCCUCCGCCGCCACCGCCACCACGGGACUGAGCUUCGUUAACAGUGAUGUUACGGCCGUCAAGGUUUUGGCCGUUCAUCCCUUCGAUGGCGUCUUUCAUGGACUGCUCCGAGGCGAAGGUCACAAAUCCAAAACCCCUGGAUCUUCCAGUCUCACGAUCGUUGAUAAUCUGAACAUAAAACACGAAAAACCAUCAGAUCUGAAACAAAAACAGCACGAAAACAAAAAACCAGAACCGAAUAGUAACCGAUCGAUCUUCGCCUUUGGUGAAAGGAAGAAGAUGAACGUACCUAUUGGCGUGAGAGUAAUAAAAGAAUCAUAUAGUAACACAAGUAUCAUAAGAUCAAGUAACGCAAACAGAUCAGAGAUCACAGAUCAGAAAGGGAUCGAGAAAAUUCCGAAUCCGAAUCGUGUGAGAUCAGAUGUGAUGCCUGCAACAAACAGACCUUCGUUUCAACGAUUUCGCCGUACUGAGAGAAGGCUCUCUCGAGAGCUUGGUCGUCAGUGGCCCAAGCGAGCCCACCGACAAAGCAACGGUACUCAACAUCUGAAGAAGCCAUCGAAAAUUGUAUAAACCCUAGAAAAUUGGUAUUAAGAGGGGUAAGACUGGCACGAAGAAGACGGAAACCCCAAGCGAUUGUUUUAUAGCUGCUGAAAUUUUAACCAGGGUUACGGCGCGUGUGUUUGACCUAGACUAGGGUUACAGCUAAAUGAAUCAUGGUUCAAAAUUAGGUCAUUAUAAAUAUUGGGCUCAAACUUGGACCCAUGUGAAAUUUUUGUUUAGGCCCAAAUUGAUAGUUACUCAAUUUUCAACACAAAAAUUAUUUAUACUAUGAAUCACAUUGAGAACGUUGUAAGAAAAAAUAUCAUACUAUCUUUUAUAACUCUGUGAAUCACAUUGAAAAGUUUCAUUUAAAAUAAAUUUAUUGAUAACAAAAUUUUUUUUUUAAUAUUAUACAAACUCAAAAGACGAUAACGCGUGAAACAAUCCUCGGUCAAUCUUUUUUCACAAAGACGAUAAUAAUGGAAUCCAUGUGAUCAUUUACACCUGACAUGACAAGAGACAGUUGUCACCUUGCAUGACAAAGACAACAUUUGUCCAAUGACCAAGGUGAUGAGUCAUUUCUUUCUUUCUUUUUUCUUUAUCAAUUAUGACAUCAUUCAUGACCUCAUCAUCCAAUCUCAUAAGAGUAAUUUUAAUGAGAGUUUUUUUUUUGACAAAAACAAUGGUAGGAAUUUUGUAUGAUUUUUUUUUCCAUUGGAGAGCUAUAACUUGGUAGGCCCCAUUUCAAAGAGUUGUCAACUCACUUAUUGUAGAGUGGGUCCAUUUGCAUUAUAUUUAAUUAAAUUAGCAAUGUAUUUUUUUUUUACUCAACAUUAUGGAUCCAUUUGUGAAGCUCCCUAUAGCAAUGAAGGUCCAUCAAAUACCUUACACCACAAUUCAUCAUUAUCCAAAGAGUUGACUUUAGGUUUCUUUGGAGAUGUGAUAACAUAAGAUUCAACACUAAAAGAAGCUCAAUUUUUUUAUAAAAAAAUAAUUUAAUAAUUUUAUAUUAUUUUUGUAUAACUAAAUUAAUUUUUUAUAUCUUUGUUUGUUUAAAUUAAGAUGUGACAUGCGACUAAAAAGUAUUUAUGUUGAUUAUUAAUUUAUUUUUUUAUAUAUUACCUUCAUAAAUUCAUAUUGAAUUAAUUUUUAACUUAUUGUGAUACAUAAGUAUGUAAUUGAUUUAUGAUGACAUAUUUAUUUUUUUAAAACAAAAUAAGAAACACAGAUAAAAAUAAAAUUAUAAAUGAAUAAAACUAAAUGUUGGUAUAUUAAUAAAGAACAAAAAUAUAUAUUUUUAAUAUGAAAUUAUAUUUUAUCGAUGAUAAACAAUAAUGAUUAAACUAAAACAUUUUCUUCAAGAGAUAAAAUAUAUAAUUAAAUUAAAUUAUAUAUAUAAGAAAAUUAAAGUAUAAAAAAUGUGAUAAAUUCCUCAAGAUGAAGAUCAAAUUUAAAAAAUAUAAAUCCACCGUAGAUAAGAUAUAUCACCAACUCAUCUCAUUAUCAUAUUUAUCUUAUAAAUAAAUAUUAUGUAAUUUUUUAAAAAAACAAAUUAAAUAAUAAAUGAUAACAUAGAAAUAAAUUAAAUAAAAAAUGUGAUAUAUUAUUUUGAGGUUUAUUAAACCUAAUUAUUCGUUUAAUGAACAAAACAUAUUGUUUUUAAUAAACUUACAUUAUUAUUUUUUUAUAUAAAAGGGGCCAAAUCUCAAGAUCGACCUUGAUUAUCAAUUACUUCCAUCAAAGCCACCAGACCUGCACCAUCAAAGGAACCUGGAGACAAGCUUCUAUUCUUGUUUUCUUCAGAAAUUUCGUGGCUUUGAGGAAUGGGAGUGUGUGGAGAAAAUUUCUUUAACCUUGCGUAUAUGUUGAUUGAUUUCUUACCAAGAAAACUUAUUUUUUCUGGUUGAUGGCUGGAUGUAAUUAUUGUUACUGUUUGAUUAUUGUGUGGCUUUAUUAGAAAUGUUCAUUUAUGAAGGGAAAUUCUGCCAAAAAGAUUCUCUCCGCAAACAUUUAUUACAAGGGUACAAGAAGAUGUUGUCCUCCCCGCAAACAAGAAGAUAUUAUCACAUAAAUAAAUAUCAUGUCAGAAUCUAAUUUAUAUCUUUCUUGCCAAAAUAACUUUUUUUAAAGCUUUCCAAAUGAAAUUUGAGUUAAUUGUCAAAGAAGUGUAAAGUGUUUAACAACCUCCCGUCUACAAAACUAUUAACCAUGAUCAAAUUUAAAACAUAAAUUGUUGAAUUAAUAAUUAAAUUUAAUUAAUUAAAACGCUUACAAAAAAAUUACUUAAUUAAGCUGCAAAUAUAUAGCUUAUCAGAACCAAUAAGCAAACGGCAUUGGUGCAAUUAAAAUAUUUUCCAAAUAAAAAUCUGUUGAAAUGUGAUAGCACUAUAGUAGUACCCUAAUUUCUGGCAAUCUUUUCAUUUAUUCGAUUCUACACAACCAGAGAUAUAUAGGUAAAAAACCGUAUCCAGGAGCCCCAAACCAAGACAAAUUACCAAACCGUAACACCUAAAAUUACGGAACACAAACAUAGCAAUAAACACUAAUCUACAACAUUAAGCCCUAAUUUCUCCAGCUUCCAUCACCACCACCACGAGAGUAGCGUGAUCCACCGUCCCCGUAAGGUCCGUAACGAUGGUCUCUGUCACCGCCAUAACCACCACCGUUACGGUUAUAUGCACCUUCCCGACGGCCACCGUAUCCUCCAGCACCACCACUGCGGUUGUAUCCACCGCCACUUCCGUAACCGCCACCGCCUCCACCGCGGCUUCCGCGGGACUGAGCUUCGUUCACAGUGAUGUUGCGUCCAUCAAGGUUCUGACCGUUCAUCCCUUCGAUCGCAUCCCUCAUUGAAUCCUCGGAGGCGAAGGUAACAAAUCCAAAUCCCCUGGAUCUUCCAGUCUCACGAUCGUUGAUAAUCUACACAUAAAACCACAAACGGUUCAUCAAAUUGAAAUGAAAAGCAAAACAGCACGAAAACAAAAACCAGAACCGAAUAGAAACCGAUCGAUCUUCUUCUUUGGCAAAAAGAUGAAGAUGAACGUACCUAUUGGCGUGAGUAAUAAAAGAAUCAUAUAGUAACACAAGUAUCAUAUCAUAGAACAAGUAACGCAAAUAGAUCAGAGAUCACAGAUCAGAACGGGAUGGAGAAAUUCCGGAUCCGAAUUGUGUCAGAUCAUAUGCGAUGCGGACCUUC
This 4047-nucleotide long non-coding RNA is filed under the name Glycine max (soybean). RNAcentral's name for it is "long non-coding RNA (GMAX_LNC002436)". Lineage: Eukaryota; Viridiplantae; Streptophyta; Magnoliopsida; Fabales; Fabaceae. The record is from RNAcentral.